Molecule: long non-coding RNA, 1227 nt
Organism: Phyllostomus hastatus (greater spear-nosed bat)
Lineage: Eukaryota; Metazoa; Chordata; Mammalia; Chiroptera; Phyllostomidae
Exons: 3
Source: RefSeq, a predicted model, not a curated record
GAAAAGCAGAAGAGAGAGGCCUGAGGAAGACCCAGAGUGAGGAGCCAGAACCCACUGGGGGCAAGAUUCCCCACCACAGUACCUGCCACGGAAGAGUCAGACACGAGGUGGUGGAUCUGGCAGUGACCCCGGCUCUCGUGGGCUAGCCCGGCAACGUAUUCGUGACCAUGGUAUUCGUGACUGUGACCAGUUGGUUUCCUUGGGGAAAACCCUUCCUGUUCCCCGUGGAGUAGGGGCCUCUCCAAGCUCAACUUCCGUUGGACCAGCAAGAGCUCCCGGUGCGUCCUGUCCCACCUGCCCUGUUGGGAAGAGCUCUCAGGGCCCAGCCCCUCUCCACCGCUUCCCGACGUCCCACCAGAGCGUGGACGAGAGCUGCUGCGUCCCCACGGAAGGCACCCCCGAGGUGGGUGCUGUGUAAGCCCAGGUCCUCAGCACAUCCGGAGGCUGAACCAACCAGCAAGAGCCCGAGAGCAGCGAGGCCAGAAGGAACCUGUGACUUGACCUGAUUCCCUCGUCACCCACGGCAACGACUUGCCCGAGGUCACCCAGCUCGUUCGCAGCGAAGCCACCCGGUUCUGAACUUUGAUUCCGUCAGCGUUUCUCAGACUUGACCCUGCACACACGUCUUGCUAAAACGCGGACUCAGCAGGUCUGCCCCGGGGGCCUGAGAUUCUGCAUUUCCAACAAGCUCCCAGGAGCUGGUAGUGCUGAUAGUGCACAGACCACAAGGAGCUGCGAGGGUUGAGGUCAAGGUUAAUGGGCUGCCCCACCCUGGUGAAAGCGUCUCCGCCCACCCGCCCCGUGACUGCUCAGAUGCCCUUUCUGCAGAAGGGCCUCCCUGCCUCUUCCUCCUCGACUAUCAGCUCCCAUGGCCUCUGCACUCCUUCCUUUGAAGCACUGGCAACAACUGUAAUUAAAGAGCAUUUGUGUAAUUAUUAGUUUAAUGCCUGUCUCCCAGGGAGACUGCAAGCUCCACGCGGGCGGGACUGGCUCAGCGACUGGGCAAUCUCACACACUGUUGACGAAAGGGUGGCUGCCAGGGUCUGGAAUGGCCUGGGCCAGCACCCUGCAGGAGGUGGGCGUGGUUUACACGUGAGGAAAACAACUUCUGUUGGCCUCAAGGACAACAGGGACAUACCAGCUUUAAAAUUCCCACCAGUUUCAGCCCUGGCUGGUGUGGCUCAGUGGACUGUGUGCAGGCCUGUGAACCAAAGGGACGCUGGUUCA